RNAcentral lists this ribosomal RNA (253 nucleotides) under uncultured bacterium. RNAcentral's name for it is "partial 16S ribosomal RNA". It matches the Rfam family "Bacterial small subunit ribosomal RNA", at positions 524 to 776 of the family's 1533-position model. The record is from RNAcentral.
UACGUAGGGGGCUAGCGUUGUCCGGAAUCAUUGGGCGUAAAGAGCGUGUAGGCGGCCCGGUAAGUCCGCUGUGAAAGUCGGGGGCUCAACCCUCGGAUGCCGGUGGAUACUGUCGGGCUCGAGUACGGAAGAGGCGAGUGGAAUUCCUGGUGUAGCGGUGAAAUGCGCAGAUAUCAGGAGGAACACCAAUUGCGAAGGCAGCUCGCUGGGACGUUACUGACGCUGAGACGCGAAAGCGUGGGGAGCAAACGGG